Myodes glareolus (Bank vole) is the source of this 918-nucleotide long non-coding RNA. RefSeq lists it as uncharacterized. Lineage: Eukaryota; Metazoa; Chordata; Mammalia; Rodentia; Cricetidae. The record is from RefSeq and is a predicted model, not a curated record.
GCUUGCUUGUUGCCAGCCUGACCUCACUGAUGAGUUCCAGGCUAAUAAGAGUAUCCGUUUCAAAAAAGAUAGAUGAUGUUCCUGAGGAUGACAGUUGAGAUUUUUCUCCAGCCUCCAUAGACAUGUGCACAUACAUGUACCGCAUCUGUGCACAUGUGAACGUAGAAGUUAUGUCUCUUUAGGACAAAGAAACCCUGACAGCAAGCUGUGGAUGUAUUUCCUAAGGACAUGGCUGUAUGUGGGACACAAAGUUAUCUCCCACUUCCCAAUCAUCUUCAAAUUUGCUUACAAAAGAGGAUACACUUCAUUAAUCUCUGCUUCCCAUGGUGGGACUUACAUUCAAAACUUCAAGACGAUAAUCUUCAAUGACAAUCUGCUCCCGCUUUCUCUCUGAGGUCCAUGAAAGGGCUCAUUAAGAAGGUCUGAGAUACUUAAGCUUUUCGUAUUCCAAGGAGACGGUGAACCAUCCCUCCAAGUUUGGGGUUCUGCAAGGGUAGGGAACGGACGCCUCUUAUUCCCAGCUGCAGACUUAAACAUCAAGUUUAAGACACAGCAGGACUUGAGUAAACAUUAUAUAACGCACAGUGGGAGAAUGGUCCGAAAUAAUCUCGGAUUAGGAGGACAAAGAGCCAAGCUCAAGAUGCCAUCCAAGGUUGAAAAGGCAAGUCCCUCAAAUUCUGAUAUACCAGCAUAUUUCAAAGUCGGCAAGCUUUUCAUGGAAAAGUAAGGCUGGUGAGGUUUCUGGAAUGUAUGCUCGUUCAACAUCACCUGCUAAAAAUGGACCCUACUGCCCCACUUGCGGAAGCUCGGACUCAACGGCACCUUCUGUCUGAAGGGGUCAGAACUGAAUAUCUGAGGUUUCUCAGAGGGUGGGAGAAUGACGGAAGUCAGGGCAGGGAAGGAGACUAGAAAACCUAA